Molecule: ribosomal RNA, 253 nt
Filed under: uncultured bacterium
Lineage: Bacteria
Description: partial 16S ribosomal RNA
Rfam family: Bacterial small subunit ribosomal RNA
Source: RNAcentral
UACGGGGGGGGCAAGCGUUGUUCGGAAUUACUGGGCGUAAAGGGUGCGUAGGCGGUGCUCUAAGUCGGAUGUGAAAACUCUGGGCUCAACCCAGAGCCUGCAUCCGAAACUGGAGUGCUAGAGUUCUGGAGGGGGUAGCGGAAUUCCUGGUGUAGCGGUGAAAUGCGUAGAUAUCAGGAGGAACACCGGUGGCGAAGGCGGCUACCUGGACAGAAACUGACGCUGAGGCACGACAGCGUGGGGAGCAAACAGG